This 466-nucleotide ribosomal RNA is filed under the name uncultured bacterium. RNAcentral's name for it is "partial 16S ribosomal RNA". It matches the Rfam family "Bacterial small subunit ribosomal RNA", at positions 28 to 505 of the family's 1533-position model. The record is from RNAcentral.
GACGAACGCUGGCGGCGUGCUUAACACAUGCAAGUCGAACGGAAAGGCCCUGCUUUUGUGGGGUGCUCGAGUGGCGAACGGGUGAGUAACACGUGAGUAACCUGCCCUUGACUUUGGGAUAACUUCAGGAAACUGGGGCUAAUACCGGAUAGGAGCUCCUGCUGCAUGGUGGGGGUUGGAAAGUUUCGGCGGUUGGGGAUGGACUCGCGGCUUAUCAGCUUGUUGGUGGGGUAGUGGCUUACCAAGGCUUUGACGGGUAGCCGGCCUGAGAGGGUGACCGGCCACAUUGGGACUGAGAUACGGCCCAGACUCCUACGGGAGGCAGCAGUGGGGAAUAUUGCACAAGGGGCGGAAGCCUGAUGCAGCAACGCCGCGUGCGGGAUGACGGCCUUCGGGUUGUAAACCGCUUUCGCCUGUGACGAAGCGUGAGUGACGGUAAUGGGUAAAGAAGCACCGGCUAACUACG